GACGUAGGGCGCGAGCGUUGUCCGGAUUUAUUGGGCGUAAAGAGCUCGUAGGCGGCUUGUCGCGUCGACCGUGAAAACUUGGGGCUCAACCCCAAGCCUGCGGUCGAUACGGGCAGGCUAGAGUUCGGUAGGGGAGACUGGAAUUCCUGGUGUAGCGGUGAAAUGCGUAGAUAUCUGGAGGAACACCGGUGGCGAAGGCGGAUCUCUGGGCCUUACCUGACGCUGAGGCGCGAAAGCUAGGGGAGCGAACAGG
This 253-nucleotide ribosomal RNA is filed under the name uncultured bacterium. Its description in RNAcentral is "partial 16S ribosomal RNA". It matches the Rfam family "Bacterial small subunit ribosomal RNA", at positions 524 to 776 of the family's 1533-position model. The record is from RNAcentral.